CCUACGGGUGGCAGCAGUCGAGAAUCAUUCACAAUGGGGGAAACCCUGAUGGUGCGACGCCGCGUGGGGGAAUGAAGGUCUUCGGAUUGUAAACCCCUGUCAUGUGGGAGCAAAUUAAAAAGAUAGUACCACAAGAGGAAGAGACGGCUAACUCUGUGCCAGCAGCCGCGGUAAUACAGAGGUCUCAAGCGUUGUUCGGAACCACUGGGCGUAAGGCGUGCGUAGGCUGUUUCGUAAGUCGUGUGUGAAAGGCGCGGGCUCAACCCGCGGACGGCACAUGAUACUGCGAGACUAGAGUAAUGGAGGGGGAACCGGAAUUCUCGGUGUAGCAGUGAAAUGCGUAGAUAUCGAGAGGAACACUCGUGGCGAAGGCGGGUUCCUGGACAUUAACUGACGCUGAGGCACGAAGGCCAGGGGAGCGAAAGGGAUUAGAUACCCCUGUAGUC
This 446-nucleotide ribosomal RNA is filed under the name uncultured bacterium. Its description in RNAcentral is "partial 16S ribosomal RNA". It matches the Rfam family "Bacterial small subunit ribosomal RNA", at positions 338 to 795 of the family's 1533-position model. The record is from RNAcentral.